AAAUUAUUUAAUAAAUCUAAGACUCAAGACUUGCAAUCCCUACCACGAAACUCUCACCCACCACAUCGCAAACUCAUAGCAGGAAGGGAUAGCUCCAGCAGCCGACCCACCAAUCACCGAAGAGGCCCACCUCCUCUCCCUACCAUUAAACGUCGAACCAGAGGAAGGUAUUUAAGGCACCUCGAGAGUCAAGUCAGGGCUUCUAGAUCCACGGCCUUUUAGACAAAGUCGGUCAGCCCUCUAACACAGCUCUCUCUACGCCAUCAGAUCUCCAGCUCUCGAAGAGGAAAAACCUAGAAGCCUACCGGACACCUUAACUUAUUCGAAAAUAACUUAGUCGCGAUUUUGAUUUUUUCUUUCGGGACUUAGUCUCAAUCUCUAUUAAGAGAGCUGUAUCAACAUUAACACUUUAAUAAAGUGCUACCAUCCAGCAACCUCUGACUCUUUGGCCAUUCUCUGCGCUGCCUUGCCACUUCUUCAGGUUCUCACCGAGGUCGAGCAACCCAGGGAAGGAGCAGCGGUGCCUGUAUUCAUCCAUUGAUCCCGUCAUCCGGUACCUUUCUACGCAUCAUCAUGGUUAACCCCCGCCGAACUUCUUCCGUUGGACGCGAAAUUCCCCUCCGUGCCGCGGGUAUACGCCGCAGGCGUGCCUCCCGGUCGGUACUUAGGCUCCCUACAGCUCGUCAGUUGUUUGCCGACGAGAACGACUUAACAAGCAGAGUAACAAGGUACUCUCCAGUGCGUAGUUUCGCGCCCUCCCGCGCAUACCCUUAUCGUCCUCCCCGAAACCCUCCAGCGGUUCUU
This is a long non-coding RNA of Camponotus floridanus (Florida carpenter ant), 804 nucleotides long. RefSeq lists it as uncharacterized. The record is from RefSeq and is a predicted model, not a curated record. The transcript is spliced from 3 exons. Lineage: Eukaryota; Metazoa; Arthropoda; Insecta; Hymenoptera; Formicidae.